Molecule: ribosomal RNA, 1280 nt
Filed under: metagenome
Description: bacterial SSU rRNA
Rfam family: Bacterial small subunit ribosomal RNA
Source: RNAcentral
GCGGCCGAUGCCGGAUUAGCUAGUUGGUAGGGUAAAGGCCUACCAAGGCGACGAUCCGUAGCGGGUCUGAGAGGAUGAUCCGCCACACUGGAACUGAGACACGGUCCAGACUCCUACGGGAGGCAGCAGUGGGGAAUUUUGGACAAUGGGCGCAAGCCUGAUCCAGCCAUUCCGCGUGAGUGAAGAAGGCCUUCGGGUUGUAAAGCUCUUUCGGCAGGAACGAAACGGUGGGGCUAAUACCCCCUGCUAAUGACGGUACCUGAAGAAGAAGCACCGGCUAACUACGUGCCAGCAGCCGCGGUAAUACGUAGGGUGCGAGCGUUAAUCGGAAUUACUGGGCGUAAAGCGUGCGCAGGCGGUUAUGUAAGACAGAUGUGAAAUCCCCGGGCUUAACCUGGGAACUGCGUUUGUGACUGCAUAACUCGAGUGUGGCAGAGGGGGGUGGAAUUCCACGUGUAGCAGUGAAAUGCGUAGAGAUGUGGAGGAACACCGAUGGCGAAGGCAGCCCCCUGGGUCAACACUGACGCUCAUGCACGAAAGCGUGGGUAGCAAACAGGAUUAGAUACCCUGGUAGUCCACGCCCUAAACGAUGCGAACUAGGUGUUGGAGAAGGAGACUUCUUUAGUACCGCAGCUAACGCGUGAAGUUCGCCGCCUGGGGAGUACGGUCGCAAGAUUAAAACCCAAAGGAAUUGACGGGGACCCGCACAAGCGGUGGAUGAUGUGGAUUAAUUCGAUGCAACGCGAAAAACCUUACCUACCCUUGACAUGCCAGGAACUUGGUAGAGAUACCUUGGUGCCCGAAAGGGAGCCUGGACACAGGUGCUGCAUGGCUGUCGUCAGCUCGUGUCGUGAGAUGUUGGGUUAAGUCCCGCAACGAGCGCAACCCUUGUCAUUAGUUGCCAUCAUUUAGUUGGGCACUCUAAUGAGACUGCCGGUGACAAACCGGAGGAAGGUGGGGAUGACGUCAAGUCCUCAUGGCCCUUAUGGGUAGGGCUUCACACGUCAUACAAUGGUCGGUACAGAGGGUUGCCAAGCCGCGAGGUGGAGCCAAUCCCAGAAAGCCGAUCGUAGUCCGGAUCGGAGUCUGCAACUCGACUCCGUGAAGUCGGAAUCGCUAGUAAUUGUGGAUCAGCAUGUCACGGUGAAUACGUUCCCGGGUCUUGUACACACCGCCCGUCACACCAUGGGAGUGGGUUUCACCAGAAGUAGGUAGCCUAACCGCAAGGAGGGCGCUUACCACGGUGGGAUUCAUGACUGGGGUGAAGUCGAAACAAGGUA